Molecule: small nucleolar RNA, 78 nt
Filed under: Manihot esculenta (cassava)
Lineage: Eukaryota; Viridiplantae; Streptophyta; Magnoliopsida; Malpighiales; Euphorbiaceae
Description: Small nucleolar RNA U31b
Rfam family: Small nucleolar RNA U31b
Source: Rfam by way of RNAcentral
GGAAAUGAUGAUACAUUUUGUCGCCCCAGUCUUACUUGCAUUUGAUGCAAGUUGGUGAUUGACAUUUUUAUCUGAUUC